UUGACCUCGGAUCAGGUAGGGAUACCCGCUGAACUUAAGCAUAUCAAUAAGCGGAGGAAAAGAAACCAACCGGGAUUGCCUCAGUAACGGCGAGUGAAGCGGCAAGAGCUCAAAUUUGAAAGCUGGCUCCUUCGGAGUCCGCAUUGUAAUUUGCAGAGGAUGCUUUGGGUGCGGCCCCCGUCUAAGUGCCCUGGAACGGGCCGUCAGAGAGGGUGAGAAUCCCGUCUUGGGCGGGGUGUCCGUGCCCGUGUAAAGCUCCUUCGACGAGUCGAGUUGUUUGGGAAUGCAGCUCUAAAUGGGUGGUAAAUUUCAUCUAAAGCUAAAUACUGGCCGGAGACCGAUAGCGCACAAGUAGAGUGAUCGAAAGAUGAAAAGCACUUUGAAAAGAGAGUUAAACAGCACGUGAAAUUGUUGAAAGGGAAGCGCUUGCGACCAGACUCGCCCGCGGGGUUCAGCCGGCAUUCGUGCCGGUGUACUUCCCCGUGGGCGGGCCAGCGUCGGUUUGGGCGGCCGGUCAAAGGCCCCUGGAAUGUAGUGCCCUCCGGGGCACCUUAUAGCCAGGGGUGCAAUGCGGCCAGCCUGGACCGAGGAACGCGCUUCGGCACGGACGCUGGCAUAAUGGUCGUAAA
RNAcentral lists this ribosomal RNA (629 nucleotides) under Aspergillus awamori. RNAcentral describes it as "partial 28S ribosomal RNA". It matches the Rfam family "Eukaryotic large subunit ribosomal RNA", at positions 1 to 644 of the family's 3401-position model. The record is from RNAcentral. Lineage: Eukaryota; Fungi; Ascomycota; Eurotiomycetes; Eurotiales; Aspergillaceae.